GGCGCGCGCGGGGCGGGGCGGGGCGGCGGAGCCCCCCCCCCCCUCCCCCCCCCGGGGCCGUGUCAGGGACCGCCUGAGGGACCCCAGUAAAGGACACCCAGAGGGACCCGGGAGGGGCCGUGGGAAUUAAUCCACGAGUUCUUGAGGAACGCCUCGAGAGACUCGAUGAGAGCCCGUGCGAAGAUUCCGCCGAGGAACUCUGUGAGGGACACCGCGUGAGGGACCCCCGGAGAAGCCCCUCUGAGGGAUACCAUGACAUGGCCCAGUGAGUGACCUGGGUGGAUUAGGAGCAGGGCAUUUCGGAACCAGUUCUGCAUUUACGUUAAUGUAAACAUGGGUAGGAGCUGCAACAGAUUCUACUGCUGAGGAGCUGCAAGGUCUGCCUGUUCUUGUUUUUUCUCAGUAAGAUAGAGGGUCCUUUGAACUAAACUGAAAUUCAGACCAAACAGUACACAGAUUGUCAAGACAGUUCCACAUGUCUGAGCCUGACACUGAUCCUGCAGAGCCUUGCUUAAACACCUAUCCAAGAAGGAUGCUAGUGGGGGUUAACCUGUCUAGUGCAUGCUCUUCUAAUGUUUUAAAAGAGCUGUUUGUAGAUGCAGCAACUGGCAAUGGCAAGAACAAAGCAGUGAGCUUGGGAAACCCCAGGGAACUACAGGCUGGUGAGCCUCCACCCAGCCCUGCAAAGCCUCAAACACUGAGGACAAGAAGGUGACUGGCACUAGUAUUCAGUAUGGAUUUACACUGGGGAAGUCAUGUUGGGCUGACCUGGUCACCCUCUGUGAUGAAAUUACUGCCUUGAUAAACGAGGGAAGAGGAGAGGGAUGUUGCUCAGUUUGAGCAAAGCUUUCAGUGGUGUUAGCUAAAAGAAUCUCAUAGACAAACUGAUGGACUACAGACUGGGUUUAUGGAAAAGGAAGUCACACUGAGAACUGCAGAGCUGCUGAGUUGUGAUCACUGGUACAAAAUCCAGCUUGAGUCUAGUCACUGGUGUUGUGACCUAGGUCCUGGGACCAAUACACUUUCAAGCUCCAGAUGUAUCCCUUCUCUUUAAGCAACAAGUUGAGUAGCCCAGAGCACAGGACUAAAAGCUUUCCGCAAAACCAAAUAAACUCCAAGUGCAACAGCAACAACCUACCAGGUAACAGGAACAAUGGGGUUUUUUUGGAGUCAAAGCAUAUUUAUACUGGUAAAAAGCUAAAGCUGGCUUUCUGCAAUUAACAGGAAAAAUGCUCCUAUAAAUACACAUGGCAAGUCUCCACAUCCCAAGACUCCUAGAAUUUAUUUCCAGGAAGGAAAAAAAUCUACAUGAAGUGUUUUUUUCCAGGUGGCAAGAUCAUUAAUUGUUAUAGCUUAAUAAUGCUGUGCUGGCAUUCUCACUGGCUGGCUGCAGUGUGGUGUCCAGCAGCCCUCAGCAGCAGUACACAGGCUGCCACCAUAGCACAUGAGGAAGUGAAUCUUAUUGUCUUAGUACUGACCAACCCUUCUUCAUGCUUUUGGCUCCGAGACCUUUCUUGAGGCUCAGAUAUGUGGAGAAAUUAGCCCUAGGUGAAUACUUGCCUACAGCACUGCAGUUAUUGGGGUGGGGUUUUACAGCAACAGUGUCAGUCUGCCUCCCCAAAGACAACCUUUAGUCACAUUUUUUCUAGUUGUCUGGAAUCUGUGAAAUUUCUGUUGUAACUGAAUCUCUGUGCUUCACAUUCAACAUGCAUCAGGCACUGCAGUGGGUUUGCAGAGAGAGGAAACUCCUAGGACAAGAAAACUUUUGACAACACGGGAAGAAAACCCACAGGCACUGAUUACAGGGGUUAGAAAUCUUUCUGCUGACACCUCAGCAUCUGUGGAACAUGACCCUCACUCUGUUUAUGUCUUUGGCACAAAUAGUUCAAGCAAUGUCUAGCUGACCUUUUGAUCGCAGCUCUGCACUUGAGGCCUGUAGCUUCUCUCUCACCUCUGCCCGCUCUCGGUACAGCUCAGUGAAGAGGAAAGAGUAAGACCCUCUGUGCAGGGCAGUAUUUUGGAGCAGCUGAACCAUACCUCCCAAAAGCCAUGUUGGCCACAUCGUCCCUUGAGCCUUUUAGGUGGCUGAAGCCCUCCUGACAUUUGUUCUUCCAGGGAAUGAGGAAGCUGGGAGACAAAGCACAGAGAUUCUUUUUUUUCUAAUACACUAUGAACUUUCUUACUUUCAAUGUCUCAGAAAUGGGCCACCUCUUGCCCAAAAAACAUUUCAAGCACUAUGUCCUAGCAUCUCAUUUAUGAAUUCAUUUACUAGACCUUGAAAGCACCUUGUAUUUGAAAGAUAUCCUAAUCUUUCAUUUUGAAACAGACAAGAUGAGUACAGCAAUAGCUAGGAAGAACUAACAGAACAAUGUGAAACUAUUCUGAGUCCUGUCCUAGUUUGGCUUCCUCCUUGAGCAACAGCAGUGCCAACCAGCUGGCAAGAGCUGAGACCCCAAGUCACAGAGAUCAGAAACAAAAUACACCCAAGAAAGGGAAGUGAUGACAGCCAAGGAAACCUGCAGCAGCUGGGCUGGAGCUGGAGGCAGGCAGCAGAUUGAGUGUUGAAAGGGGUAACGUCGACUGCCACAUGUUUGUAGCGUAGAGUGAAGGCAUAGUUGAUAACACCACAGACCAGCUGCAGGCUCCAGGCCAAGGAGUGCAGUGGGUCUCAUUUUGGUUCCACAGACAGGAAUGACAAUGGCCAUACAUGCACCUGCCAACUAUGGCCAGUGAGAAAGCACCUAGGGAACCUAGACCUUUUGGCAGAAGGAGUGAAGACAUGAAACAUAAAAAUCUCUUCCUCCAAAAAUGGUGAAGCUGCCUUAUAUAAGGAAACUGAUUCAUCUGCAUUGUGAAUGGGAAAGCAAGGGGACCUGCAAGACAGGUGAUGGGACAAAAUAGAUUAAUGCUAAAAUUAGUUGCUUGGGGACAAUUUAGACUUUUUAUUGCUGAGAUUUAAGCUGGACAUGCAUGUAAGAGGAGCGCAAUUAAUACCAACAGCUUUGGAGUUUGAGCUCAUUUUUGGUCCUGUAAGUCAGCUAACAGGCCCCACACCAUCUGAAUGCUGUACUCAAUGGAGCAUCUGAGGCUGGUGGGGACUUAGUAACCCCGGUUGCCAGAGCCCUCUCUAAACCAUUAUUUUCUGUAUGUCUCCAGGGCCAGGGACUUUGGUUUUCUUUUGCAUCUCUCAAACAGUUUGAUUAGAAGGCUCAGUGGAAUGACAGUGUUAGCGUUCCUGUGUCUUUUUAAAGUCUGCCCUUCCAGCAUUCACAAGUAUCAGUAAUGCCUACUAUGAGGAGCAGAGAUGAUGCAGCUGGAGAUGUGGUCUCUCACCUACUUAAAAACAAAGCUCGAGCUUGUCCAUGAUCAUGGAAACUGGCCUCUCAGGAUGAGGCCAAGGGUGAAGACAGUGAGGCAGAAGCUGAUUUUAGGCACAGAAUUUUAACCUCCAGCAUAAAAUUUUGAUGUCUCAGACAUUCCUCUUCUGAAAAAAUAACCUUCCCGCUUACAGACAGUGAAAUAGGAUAGCUGUGUGAAGGCUUCACUCUCCUGUGCAAUAAAAUUAUGUAGAUGCAGUUUUGGGAUGCAAGAUCUCCCUAAAACCUGUAAUUCUAUAUCUGACUGUCCUGCUACAUUUAUCUGUGCUGUUCAACAGUUCUAAGAGGUAGGUCCUUCUUAGAAAAAUAAAGUGGUUGAAAGGAAACUCUUGCCUCAGAGCAAAUGAGGUAUCAGAUGAUGAGAACAGGAAGGAGAUGCCUUGAAGUGUAAUAAUCCCAACUCUGCCAAUAGAUAAAUCUCCUAUGGAAGUAAUUAGUAUUGCUACAGUUGUACAGAGAACUAGGCCUAAUGUCUAGGCCACAAAAAACCAAAAACAAGCUGAGAUUCUGCUCUUGGGCUAUCCAUCCACUCACUGGUGGAUGAAAAAGAACAGUUCACUUUGUUUUCAUUGAAUCAGUCAUGUCCACACAGAGGCUGGACUGUUGCAGUAAGAAACCCAAGCCCACUAGCUUUCAAACUGCCCUAGAUUUACUUGCAAUGGGAUAUUAGAAAAUAAGGGAAAAUAUCAGGCAAGCCAAUACACUAUACAAAUACAUUUUAUUUAGAGAUACCCAUAGUAAGAUGCACAAAUACUUUUUGUUCACCAAUUUUCAUAUCACACAACUUCAAGUAGUGGAAAAAAACAAACUGCAGUUAAUUACAAUUAUCUAUGUAACAGGGCAGUAGUAAAAGAUUCAUUUGUCAGACUACAGCAUGGUUAACGAUACUCAGAUGAGAAUGUACAGGUCUAGGUAUUAAAAAAGUGCAUGGGGCAUUGCCACAUACACUAACAUGCUUCUUCAAAGAGCAACAUCUUUCUGGCAUGUGAACACAGUAACCCGGUUAAAGCAAGAGGGAAAAUAGGCUCAUAAUUUGAUCUGGAAAUGUAUCUACUAAAAGUUUUCCUCCAAACAGCAAAUUAUUUGUGACUGACACAUGGAAACCAAUCUAUAAAAAUCACUGUUACAUUGUCCAUGUAGUCAAGCAACACACACAUGACCUAAAAUUUAAAAUUAUCAGUUCCAGUGUAUGCCUUCACAGCUUUUACACAGUCUUCUUCAAAAGAGUCCAGAAUACUUAAUUGCAUUAACAGGCUGGUGGAAGAUCUGUAAUCUGAGCUCCACACUUUUGCACCCACAAUGUUCUUCCACAAGAGAAAUCUCAAUCUUCAAAUUAAAAAAAAAAACCAAACAUGUUCCACCUGCAAGGACAUCAACUGGCUCAUGUAUUGCUUGGUUUAUUUUUAAAUUCCUGUAAAUGGAAGGAAAGGUAGGAAGCUGUACUGGUCUGAGAGAAUAGCUGCAUUGGUUUAAAGUUACAUUUAAAACACAUGGAACCUGGACUUUUAUCUCCAGGGUUUCUCUCAAACCAAGGAAAUUCAUUAGCUUUCACUACUCAAUGCAGUCUCUGUUUUGUUUUUAAAUAGGGGUGGUGUUGAAUAGUGCUUGGGAAAGACCAGCAAGGACUAUUGUGUGGGUGAUUAUAUAUAAGAGCAAGAAACACAUUUAAUCAGUGUUCAGAUAAUUUUUUUCCAUUGCAAACAAGAGAGCAACAGAUACUGACUUUGUAUUAUAGUUGAGAGGCACAUUUUGCACUGAUGGACAGAAAAUCUUGGUUUACCUUGCAACUUUAUGUGGCUUAAAACGCCACCUAACUUCCUCUUAAAGCAAUUUUUAAAAAAGAAACAAAAAGCUCCCUCAAUUACUGUUUUUAUACUUAAAAUUCAUAAGCUGCUCCCUCACCUAUUCUACUCAGAGAUACCUUUCUACUUGUGUAUAUGCAGUUGGUUUCUUUGUGUGUCUAAGAGAUUCUUGUUUCUGUGCACCUUGAGAGUAGACAAAUAAUUCUGAUGCCUCAGGAUGGGCCCCUGUACUAUGUUCAGGAGUUGAGAAAGUCAGUAUGGUUUUGUACAUUUGCAGUAAACCCCAGAAUGAAAACAAGAAAAAGAAAAGCCACUGAAUUGCAAUAACCAGCAGUAUGGGAAUCAACUCCGUGGAACAGGAAUGACUUUGGAGCAAACCCUUUUGGACUGAAAGGGAUAUGGCAGUCCAAGAAGAUACCUAGAGCUGAGUAAAAAGAAUAAGGACACUGUGAGCAAGGUCCUAGUUCAGCAAACCACUGCCUAAGGCAGUAGAAGUUUCAAAGUAUAAUAGGGGUUUAACAGGUGCCCCCAUGCUUUGCAGACCUUGGUACCUGAUCUAGUGCACCAUGAGAAAACAGGGAACUUGCUCAAGUCCCAAGCAGCAGUGUGACAAGAUGUGAGUGAGGCUGGGACAAGAGUCUGAGACCAGAGACAGCAAUUUGAACAAGAGGGACAAAGCCCACCAGAAGUUACUUAACCAGUUCUUUCUCUAACAGCCCCACUACCACACCUCCAAUGUGAGAGAAGCCCAGAGCAACCAGCUGAAGCUGUAAAUCACAACUGGCCUGUUACAUCCCUGCACUGUCAACAGCCAGCCAAGUGGAGGACAAGGUAGACAAGGCCUUUUUACUCCAUCAUCCCUGCACAAAGCAGGUGGAGGGGGCUGGUGGCAGCCGUGAAGCACAUUAGUCAUAGUCACUCAUGAAAACAGAGACAAGUGCACUGGUAACCUUGAAUGUUGAGGGGAAGACUGAGUGACCACUGGGGAAACUGGUUUUUCCACAUGCUAUUUUCACAUCUCAUCUGAAGAGGGACUGACCUCUUUUUGAAAGCUCUGGGAGCAACUAAUUUGCAGUGAUCUAAGGCAUGAUGGCACAAACCCUCAAAGCCUACCAUCAAACAUUCCAUUGCCAGCUCAUCUCUGUCAUUCUUGCUGGCCAAAGUACAUUAGAAUAACUUUUCUCUUUUGAGAACACGGUUAUUGUUUUGCUCAUAUCCCUACUCUUUUAUAAUUCCACCCCCCAAAACAAUAAAUCUCUGGAGGAAGCCUUUACAUGGAAUCAAGUGAGCAACUCACCCUGCUGGUAUUGCCCUGAAUGAAACCUUUAGUCAAGACUCUGAGUAGCAACUGAAGAUGCCAGUUCUCUGGCUAAACCACUACAGAUGAGUUUGACAAACACACUGGGUGAAGGCACAGGGCACCUCCACUUCCUGAUCUGCUGACACCUACUGAACAAUAUGGGUGCAAGAAGCUUUCUGCUUCUUCAGACUGUGCAGGGGUGGAGUCUCCAAUUGCAAGAGAAGCAUCCAGUCACAGAGGUUUAUGGUAAAAGCACAGAGUGAUCUUGCCACACUGGGCUACAGGUUUUCUUUUUAUUAUGACUCGAUAAUUUUCAGAGUAGGCAGACAUCUUUGAACUCAUCAUUACAGGUGAACUAGGAAAAAAUGGGAGAAGAGGAAGAUGCUAAAGGUAGAAAACUAAGUUAAAUCCAUUUGUUCUACUCAGAAAAGCGACUGUCCUAAAAACAGCACCUCACUGAAUUUGAAGGAACUCCGAAAUUAACACAAAGCAAAAAGAACUCCAUGGAUGCCAGGUUAUAAACCCCAAGGCUUUUCAGGCCCUCUUUAGAGUAUGACUGAAUUACAGCCUAAACAAAGCAUUCAAACAGGAGAGGAAAUAUGUGAGUUAUGUCACCUACAUUCACAUGCCAAGUGUUGUCACCACACCAAGCAGGGCUGAAUGUCACAGAACAUGUAUCAUCUUGGAAUAUUCCCAGGAGCACAAAUGACAGCAGACAAACGGGAGCUGUGGAUGCAAUCAGGGAGUUUCCCCUUCCCCUCUCUAUGAAGUCUUAACAAGAAACAUGUCCUCAUCCUUCUACCUCUGCCACCGGAUGUGACAUCCACAGACCAGCAUUUGUGAUACACACUUAGAACAAGGCAGGGCCUCAUUGUCCUGCUCCAGAUAUGGGGUGAAGUCUUGGCUGUGGGCUUAAUGGGUGGGGAAACCACUGUCUCUCUACUGAAGCAGAUUAUGAGAUUCAUAUGAGAGUCUCCGCUUUAAUUCAGAGAGCUACAAACGCACUUACGACAGCAGAAGAUCUUCCCCUCACCUCCAUCACAUGGAUCUAGCUCUCACAAAGACACACAGAAAGCUUUAAACCCUCUGCAGUCAGCAAGAGCAGUCACUUGGAUAAGAGGGGAGAGGCACAAGAGUGAACCUCCUCUUACUUUUGCUCUAACUUCACACAAACAGUGUGAAGUAUGGUGAUGGAGUAUCAAGGCAGAUGGCAUUUACUUUUCAAUUAAAUGUAUUAAUAAAAAUAUAUAAAAUGCAGAACAACUGUGGAUCUUUCUCUAACCAAAGUAAUUUACUGAAGAAAUCCAUUAUAUACCCACUACUAAGAAGGAUAUAUAGAACAGCCUUUCAAAAACAGCACUUCAAAUUGUAUCCUAAGGGGCUGAAGUACCUCAGACUACUCAUUCCCAUCAAGCUAAAAGUACAGCCUGUGCCUAGAACCUACCACAGUAAGUUCUAUACUUCCAGCCCUCUACCACCUGUGGACCUAGGUAAUUUAGGUAAGUAUAUCGAGCCUCACUCGCAUGCUGCAGGAAUGGUCUACAGAUCCCAGAAGGAAAUAAAGAUGUAGUGGCAUGUCCUACACAAGAAGUCACAGAGUCUAUGCCAUACAAGCUCUGUCUGCUGCCUUCAGGACAUGAAGAGAAGGACACACAACAUGGCUCUGCAGGCCAGUCACACAGAGAACUAUUGCUGCUGUGGAUCAAGAACUAGGGUCCAAGGUGUGCAUUUCCCUUUACAGCUGUUACGAAAAGCAACACUUACAAGAUGUGCUAAAAAGCAUUUACUACCUUCCAGUGUAAACAGGGCCACAGCAGAGGAAAGCCAGCCCAGCUCCAGCCUUACUGAGCCACCACCUUUCUGUGACCUGCUUUUGUGUACAACUUGAGUGAACUGAAGUUAACAUGGACUUACCACGUUCAGCAGGUGCACUUGGAAACUUAAACCACAUUCAGGUACCACUGCAAAGCACUUAAAAUCUGAUUUUAGUCCACAGAUCAAUAAAGACCCUGUUUUCCAGAGGUGCUACACCACUUCAAGUCCCAGGGAGAUCAAUAUAAAGUGGAAACACUCAGUAUCUUGCGAAUUACUGUUAUUUAUGUGCCUCUACCACCACGCCAGCACCAUCUACUCUGCACAAGAGAAAACAGCCCUGAACAAAGGCUUUCUCCAGACACAAACCAGAGAAUCCCUCGAAGUACUCCCUGCACACAUUAUCCCCCAAUAUGGAAGAUCACAUACUUGAGGCAGGUUUCAGCCACCACAGGGACCACACUGCAGUGUCUGGGUCAGGACCUUGACAGAAUCCUCACUAACAGCAAGUGAGGACAAGUGGUCUUUCUGGUAAGACAUUCAGGUGACUUCUCCUAACAUUAUACAUAUUUCUCCCAUAACUGAAAGCAGCAGACCCUGACACUGAUCUAGACACCACGGCUCAGUAACUGCAUAAAUAAAACUUCCCUAUCUUUGCUGACAUGUGUCCUCCUCUGGCAACCUGCCUGAUGAAGAGAUGGAAGCCCAGAACCAAGCUAAGUAAGGACUGCAAUUUACUAGUCUGGCAUUAAUAUGGCACUCACUGUGCCUUCUCAUACCUGACAGUAAAGAAUAUGGAGAGAACUUUAUGGGACCAUGCACCCUGCAAGCCUGGCCCUGGUAUAAGGCUCAACUGGACAUAAUGCAUCCAUGAGAAAGAAAUAGCAUUCAAAUCACAUAGAAAAUUAGGAAUCUCAGUCAUGGCUUUAAAAUUACAAAGCGAGCUUUCCCUUAAAGCACAUAAUCAAAUAUAAGGUAGCACAGAGCAGACAACAUGCCUUUUUUCUAAUUCAUAGAGAAGAAUGCAAGAACAGUAUGAAUAGCAGUAAAAAGAGUACAUUUGCUUUGAGAUGAUAAAAAAUAGAGUAAGACCCAGUAAAAAAUACACAGCAGUAAAAAUGCACACUUUUGAAAGUUCAGUAAUAUUUGGAUGGUUUACAAUUGUGCUGCAGUAGUAUUUGGAGGGUUUACAAUAGUGGCAGUCAUGUUGCCCUUCAUUAGAUUUCAGAGCUGGCCACAUAUGAUUUGUUGGUUGCUCCAGGUAUACUGUCACAAACCCAAAUCUAUACACACACUGCUAAUCAUUUAGCCAAUCACUAGAAAAGCCCUUCCUGUUCAUUAGAAGCUUGACUUACUACAUUUUUAACAGCUACUUAGGCAAGCAAACAAUUUGAAGCACCUUUCACAGGUUUCUUACCGCUGCCUCGUUCUUUGGAACAGACGGAUUUAACAUUGUGGGAAGGCUGCCUUGGAUCCAGAAAAGAGACAUGUGCCUGUGAUCCUACUGCAUACACUGACCACUCUUGACCAUAAGCCAAACACACGUUCUCUCUGCAGUACGGCAACUUUGUGGAAAGUAACUGGAAACAGAAAAAAUAAAAAUCAAUCUGUUACAAGAAAAGACGAAGGUGUUGACAAAACAAUUUUGUAAGUUAUGUUCUAGGAAGUUGCAGGGAAAUAAAACACAAAAUGCAGGGGAAAAAUAAGACCAGAAGGAAAAAAACUGAAAGCAAUGGGGUAUCUUAUCUGAAGCCAACUGACACAAUAAAAGCUGAAGCUAAGAAAAAUUGACAUUUUAAUAAAUUGUUUUAGAUCCUUCUAAGCUGCUGCUAUUUUUUAGUAGGUGCACAGCAACACCAGCUCUCAUUUGAAAAAGCCUAUCACAUUCACUGGGUGUGAUGUGCCAUUACACUUAAAUAAGUGCAACUUCCUUUAUGAAUUCUACAGACUAAGUAUCCACCAUACUCCAUGCAACAGCUCACUUCAGCUAACCCAAAACUAGCAGAAAGUUAAGCAUGCUUCCUGUCCUCUCAAUUAAGGGGAGUGCAGAACUUCUCUCCUCUUCAAGCUCCAAAUUUCAGGACAUUUCAUUUUACACAGAAUUUUUAAGUGUUUUACAAACACUGCUGCUCUUCAAAUAUUUGCAGGAAAUGAAGAAUAGUGAACAGCCUUAACUGCUUGCAAUUUUUGAAGUUUAACUCCAACAAACAGAAAAGCACCUUUGAUAGUGUAUGCUCCGCUUUCCAAAGAUGAAAAUACCCAUCCAGGGACACAGCUCCCAACUCCUAUUAGAAGGAAAAUAAGAAGACAGUUAGUUACUGUAUUAUAGAUAUCCUUACAAACACACUCUGUUCUAGGCAGGCUGCACAGUCUGGAUUGAACUCAUCCAUAAUCUUGUAAAGACUCUAUCAAGAUAAUUUUCAUUUUAUACUGCUCUUCAUAGAAUGCUAUACAGCACUUCAGGUGUCAAGUAGAAUCUAAAUUAACAAAAGAGUAAAUAAAAAUAACUUUCAAAACCAUAAAUCUUGCUAGGCAACCAAAUAAUGAAGUAUGAGACAGUACAAUCUAGAGUUGACAAUUCCCUUCACCAGGUCCCACACUGAUUCUAACCCUGAAGCAAGUUGCAGGCACUACUCUACUGAAAAAGUUACAUUAAGUUUCCAUCAUGGAGGAGUAACUAACACCUCGUGUGAAAAAUAAAGCUUACAGGAUCACUGUGCAUCUGACAGCACACCCACCUUCGCUUCAGAUCUCUUCUGUUCUUUGAGGGCAGAGGGGAAAAGAAAACGUGAUGAAGGAUGAAUGGCUACAUUCACUGGUAAUAACAGGAGAUCAGGAUGGGGGAGAUUGACAUUUACUGUUUGUCAAAUACCAACAAAAUAACCCCAAAGCAAGCACUAGUGCCUGCCCUGUGAGUCAGUCACCUCAUUUGCUCAGCAAUCCUGAAAGGAUUCAGACACUGAAACAGGAACUGUUAAAUGUUAGCUGGUCUUCACAGAACAUGAAGGAAAGCAGAAAGAGCACUAAAGAAUGGGAUUAAAGCUGCAAGAGAUGUUUUGGUGCUUUAUCAGCUUCUUGUAAAUAUGUCUUUACUCCCCUGCUUAGGAGGCAAAUCUAAAAUCAAACCCACAGGAAAACUGUGUCUUCUAAAAGGUCUGGGGUUGUUUUUUUUCCUUCUGAACUCCUCCAUUCACUUGAGGCAGAAGCAGACAUUGCAGAUUAAAACCACUGCCUUAAAAGAUAAGGAUGCAAAAUAAUCAGAGAAAAACAUAUUAACUUGCUUCUCUGUAUAUUCUAUUUAGCUUACUUUCUAGCUUUUCCAAUACACAGGGACAGUUUUAGGACUUCUCAACUGUUUUGCUGAUCUUACUGACCUUGUUCUUAUUGUUGAAAGCCAAUGCUCGGACUUUGCAGUUGUCAGGAUUGGUGUUCUCCUUGGGGAUAUCCUUCAGAGCACUGUGUGUUAUGUGGGCAUAGACAGGAACUUGAGAGAGAUUAUGCCUGGCAUCACUUUUGGAUAACACAUCCUCUGUGACUUCCCAGAGACCCAUCGAACCAUCCCGGGAACC
This is a long non-coding RNA of Passer domesticus (house sparrow), 11860 nucleotides long. RefSeq lists it as uncharacterized. The transcript is spliced from 5 exons. Lineage: Eukaryota; Metazoa; Chordata; Aves; Passeriformes; Passeridae. The record is from RefSeq and is a predicted model, not a curated record.